Non-coding RNA from Phrynosoma platyrhinos (Desert horned lizard), 70 nucleotides. NCBI's taxonomy places the organism in Eukaryota, Metazoa, Chordata, Lepidosauria, Squamata, Phrynosomatidae. The record is from the annotation of a GenBank genome assembly.
ACCAGCAUGCCAUAGUGGUUUGUGUUGGACUACAACUUCGGAGACCAGGGUUCAAUUCCCUGCUUAGCCA